UACGUAGGAUGCAAGCGUUGUCCGGAAUUAUUGGGCGUAAAGAGCGCGCAGGCGGUUUUACAAGUCAGAUGUGAAAUAUCCGGGCUUAGCCCGGAGGGGUCAUUUGAAACUGUAAGACUAGAGUACAGCAGAGGAUAGCGGAAUUCCCGGUGUAGUGGUGAAAUGCGUAGAUAUCGGGAGGAACACCAGUGGCGAAGGCGGCUAUCUGGGCUGAAACUGACGCUGAGGCGCGAAGGCUAGGGGAGCAAACAGG
RNAcentral lists this ribosomal RNA (253 nucleotides) under uncultured bacterium. Its description in RNAcentral is "partial 16S ribosomal RNA". It matches the Rfam family "Bacterial small subunit ribosomal RNA", at positions 524 to 776 of the family's 1533-position model. The record is from RNAcentral.